RNAcentral lists this unclassified non-coding RNA (390 nucleotides) under soil metagenome. RNAcentral's name for it is "partial contains 5.8S ribosomal RNA, internal transcribed spacer 2, and large subunit ribosomal RNA". The stretch from base 1 to 122 matches the Rfam family "5.8S ribosomal RNA", at positions 35 to 154 of the family's 154-position model. The record is from RNAcentral.
GAUGAAGAACGUAUCGAAAUGCGAUACUUGGUGUGAAUUGCAGAAUCCCGCGAAUCAUCGAGUUUUUGAACGCAAGUUGCGCCCGAAGCCAUUCGGCCGAGGGCACGUCUGCCUGGGUGUCACGCAUCGUUGCCCCCCCAAACUCCGGUUCGGGCGGGGCGGAAGUUGGCCUCCCGUGCGUGCCUGCGCGCGCGGUUAGCCCAAAAGCGAGUCCUCGGCGACGAGCGCCACGACAAUCGGUGGUUUUUUUACCCUCGUUCCUCGUCGUGCGUGUCCCGUCGCCCGAACGCGCUCUUGUGACCCUCACGCGUCGCCUCGGCGGCGCUCCCAACGCGACCCCAGGUCAGGCGGGACUACCCGCUGAGUUUAAGCAUAUCAAUAAGCGGAGGA